Molecule: long non-coding RNA, 1529 nt
Organism: Rhopilema esculentum
Lineage: Eukaryota; Metazoa; Cnidaria; Scyphozoa; Rhizostomeae; Rhizostomatidae
Source: RefSeq, a predicted model, not a curated record
AUGUUGUUCAAUUGAGCUGUUUUGAUACUGAAGGUCAAAAUUUCUUCACUGAAGGCUGUAUGAAGGUAUUUUGAAAAGAAAUCAACAUUGUACGGGGUGAGGGGGUCGACAAUUUUCGAAGCGGCAGUGAUAUUUUGGUAAGGUAGUUUUAGACUUGCUUGCUAAGGAUUGUAGUUGAAUAAAUGAAACUAAUGGCGUGAGGCAUUUCUCGUAACGACCAAAUUGCAGAGAUUUGAUGGAGACAGCCUUUGCUCAUGUGGCCAUAUCUCAGCCAGUUCGUAAUACAUUCAGCUAAUUUGGCAUAUUAAGAGGAAUUUUAAAACGAAUCCUUCGUUUUAUGGGCAAAGAUAAAGAAUCCCAAUAGCAUUUGUGACGCCAUCCUUUUGCCUAGCAAUAAGUUGAAAAAUUCACAGAAUAAUUAGUACCAGAAGGUAGGAUUGACACUGUAUGGUAAAAAAAAUUGGUCGUAGUCUUGUCAUAAAAGAAGCUUUCCUCUUAAUAUUUCCACUUCUUCUUUAAAACGCGUGUUCAGAAUCGCCUCCAUUGAAAGAAAGAAUCAUUUGAGAGGGUUUAAGAUUCAGUUAGGGGAUGCAAAUUUUUUUCCCCUUGUUUUUUAGAGAAUAAACAGGGUAGCGUCAUCUCCUUGGCCGAGUUAGAAAAUGAAGACUUUACCCUUAGUGAGGAAGACCUAGCAACGACUUCUCAUGAUACUGUAUGGCAAAUUUCCGAGAUGAAGUGGUUAUUAGCAAACCCUACAGUACAGUAUUUAACUAAUUCAUUGAGUGAAGAUCUGCGCGUCUUAACGCGUGGAAAUGUGUAGGAUUUGCACCUGACGGAUUUUCUUAAAUGAGUAAGAAAAACAGAUUUGCUCGUUUUUAAUACGUUUGUAAUUAAAUCGUUAAACGGAAUAAACAAAUCAUGGAAAAAUCGUACAUUUUUGCUGUAAUUAGAUUAAAUUAAGCUGGAUUUGGUAACAAAUGAGGUGGAAAUUCCAUUUUAAAGUUUAUUUCUUUCGAAAUAACUCCUACUCAAAAAUGUACUCCUUCUUGCUAGGUGUAUAAAAAGGACAACUUUGUGGCAAGAAAUGAAAAAGUAUCUGACGGUCUGCAGUCGAAUACAAGCACAAGAAAUCUCGUAAAAAUACGUUUUGUGUUGACGAGUUCGAAAAUAGCGAGAUGGCUGGAUGUCACAAGUUACUUACCUGCCUUGUUAUAAUGGCAAUCGCAGCUUUAGUUACUGACGUUGAAGGAAUUUCGUGGGGCGGAGAUUCAAUGUGGAAAGGCAAAAGAGAAUUGUCACCGAACAAAAGUGAAGCAAUGGAAUCUAUCAAACUCCACCACGAGUUCUGCUUGAAAUGUCAUCGAUACAGCAAGCCGUGCAGUUACCUAAGAAUUCUAUCAAAGAUCAGAUCUUCUAAUGAUGGAAAUGACAACUGAACCGGACUAGUCUGAUUUUCUUCAACAUUUAAAACUAAUCAACGAUUUAUGAUUAACUCAUCAAAUGAUUCGAUGAUUCCUGAAAAUAAAUUA